CGUGUAGGCGGAGCUGCAAGUCAGAUGUGAAAUCCCGGGGCUCAACCCCGGAACUGCAUUUGAAACUGUAGCCCUUGAGUAUCGGAGAGGCAAGCGGAAUUCCUAGUGUAGCGGUGAAAUGCGUAGAGAUCUGGAGGAAUACCGAUUGCGAAGGCAGCCCCCUGGACAGUGACUGACGCUCAUAUGCGAAAGCGUGGGGAUCAAACAGGAUUAGAUACCCCCGUA
RNAcentral lists this ribosomal RNA (225 nucleotides) under uncultured Thorsellia sp. RNAcentral's name for it is "partial 16S ribosomal RNA". It matches the Rfam family "Bacterial small subunit ribosomal RNA", at positions 568 to 792 of the family's 1533-position model. The record is from RNAcentral. Lineage: Bacteria; Pseudomonadati; Pseudomonadota; Gammaproteobacteria; Enterobacterales; Thorselliaceae.